Molecule: ribosomal RNA, 497 nt
Filed under: uncultured bacterium
Lineage: Bacteria
Description: partial 16S ribosomal RNA
Rfam family: Bacterial small subunit ribosomal RNA
Source: RNAcentral
GAUGAACGCUGGCGGCGUGCCUAAUACAUGCGAGUCGAGCGAACAGAUGAGGAGCUUGCUCCUCUGACGUUAGCGGCGGACGGGUGAGUAACACGUGGAUAACCUACCUAUAAGACUGGGGUAACUUCGGGAAACCGGAGCUAAUACCGGAUAAUAUAUUGAACCGCAUGGUUCAAUAGUGAAAGACGGUUUUGCUGUCACUUAUAGAUGGAUCCGCGCCGCAUUAGCUAGUUGGUAAGGUAACGGCUUACCAAGGCAACGAUGCGUAGCCGACCUGAGAGGGUGAUCGGCCACACUGGAACUGAGACACGGUCCAGACUCCUACGGGAGGCAGCAGUAGGGAAUCUUCCGCAAUGGGCGAAAGCCUGACGGAGCAACGCCGCGUGAGUGAUGAAGGUCUUCGGAUCGUAAAACUCUGUUAUUAGGGAAGAACAAAUGUGUAAGUAACUAUGCACGUCUUGACGGUACCUAAUCAGAAAGCCACGGCUAACUACGUG